CGUAGGUGGCAAGCGUUGUCCGGAUUUAUUGGGUUUAAAGGGUGCGUAGGCGGUCUUUUAAGUCAGUGCUGAAAUAUCCCGGCUUAACCGGGAGGGUGGCAUUGAUACUGAAGGACUUGAGUAAAGUUGAGGUAGGCGGAAUUGACGGUGUAGCGGUGAAAUGCUUAGAUAUCGUCAAGAACACCGAUAGUGUAGACAGCUUACUAAGCUUUAACUGACGCUGAGGCACGAAAGUGUGGGGAUCAAACAGGAUUAGAUACCCUGGUAGUCCACACUGUAAACGUUGAUGACUCGAUGUUAGCGAUACACAGUUAGCGUCUUAGAGAAAUCGUUAAGUCAUCCACCUGGGGAGUACGCCGGCAACGGUG
This 368-nucleotide ribosomal RNA is filed under the name uncultured organism. Its description in RNAcentral is "bacterial SSU rRNA". It matches the Rfam family "Bacterial small subunit ribosomal RNA", at positions 526 to 896 of the family's 1533-position model. The record is from RNAcentral.